Molecule: ribosomal RNA, 220 nt
Filed under: uncultured bacterium
Lineage: Bacteria
Description: partial 16S ribosomal RNA
Rfam family: Bacterial small subunit ribosomal RNA
Source: RNAcentral
GACGAACGCUGGCGGCGUGCUUAACACAUGCAAGUCGAGCGGUAAGGCCCUUUCGGGGGUACACGAGCGGCGAACGGGUGAGUAACACGUGGGUGACCUGCCCUCAGCUCUGGGAUAAGCCUGGGAAACUGGGUCCUAAUACGUGGAUAUGACUCCACGGUGCAUGUCGGUGGGGUAGGAAAAGCCUUGUGCGGCUAGAGGAUGGGCCCGCGGACCUAUC